This 1388-nucleotide long non-coding RNA is filed under the name Heterocephalus glaber (naked mole-rat). RNAcentral describes it as "lncRNA (ENSHGLG00000040883.1)". Lineage: Eukaryota; Metazoa; Chordata; Mammalia; Rodentia; Bathyergidae. The record is from RNAcentral.
AGCAGACAUAAAAUUAAAUCUCACAACUUGGUGGACCAGGACAUUGAGCAGGGUUCAGCUCGGUAAUUUUUCUGCUUCAGUGGUACCACUUCAUGGUAUGCACAGAUGGGCAGACAUAGGAGAUCCAUGAUGGCUUUACUUUCAUGUCUGGUGCCUUUGAGAGGAAGACUGGAAGGCUGGGUUCAACUGAGCACUUGCGUGUGACCUGGUCACUGUGGCACUUUCUCGGUUGUCAGAUAUCUUACAUGGAAUCACAGAUUUUCAAAGAACGUGUCCUAAGAGGUCCAGAUGGAAGCUUCAAAGACACUGAAGAACUAACUUUGGAAGUGCCAGAAUGCUGCUUCAGCCUCAUUUUACUAGGCAAGCAACUUGCUAUCGUCAGCUGGGAUUCAAAGUGAGGAGAAUUAGACCACGGAAGAGGCCAUAUGUCAUCUAUCUCAGUGGUUAUCCUUUUAAAAGGAGAUACCUUCUAGAGAGCUGGUUUUCCAGAACAUUCCUGCCUGGAAGUCAUACACCAUCACUUCUGCUGCGUUCUAUUUGUCUCAGCAAGUCACAGUGCCAGCCAAGAGCCAAUGCAGAAGGAAAAACACUUUAUUUUUUGUUCAGAAGAAUUGCAAAAAAAUCUGUGGCCAUCUUGAAUCCACUAUAGCCUUCCCUCUGGCCACAUAUUGUUUAAAUUCUUAAAAUAUUCUCACCCCCUCUCGGAGUGGAGCACAGUCUCAUCUCAUUAAAGUGUCAGGCUCGAAGUUCAAUACUUAACUAUCAGUGCUAUAUUCAGAUGUGAGAGCAGCUCCUCAAGUAUUUCUUAUCUGUAUCUACAGACCUAUAAAUUGUUUUCUGAGACCUCCCCCUAAUCUCUCCAACUCCCUCACCCCCACCGGGCAUGCAGUGGUGAGAAAGGUCAGGAAAACCACAGUAGACACUGUGGUAAUUCUAAAACCUGCCUGGAAUUAAUAAUGUCACCUCACUAUAAAACCAGUGGUUCUAUUUCUAGGGAUACAAGCCAAAUAUAAGUACAGUAUGUUCACUGUAGGAUUAGUUAUAUAGGAAACAGCCUCUAUAUGCAAAAAUAAGAGAUAAAUUAUGCUGUAUCCAUAUAAUAAUAUUAUCUAUUAAAAGUGAUGUAGAACAGCUAUUUCUUUACUCCACCUUUUAAAAAAUAUUUAUUGAGUUUCUAAGGUGUGCAAGGCAUUCUGUAAAAAAUCAGUAAAGAACAGAGGUAAUCUCUGGCUUCAAGGAUCUUGGAGAUCAAAGAAGCAAGAGUGUCAUUAAACAGAUGACUAAUGGAUAUAUCUGACUGAUUAUAAAUGUGAUAAUCACUAUGAGGGGAAAUUAUUGGGUGCUAUUAAAUCAUCAGUGGACCUAACCUACAGGGAGGUGACUUAGGG